Molecule: ribosomal RNA, 468 nt
Filed under: uncultured bacterium
Lineage: Bacteria
Description: partial 16S ribosomal RNA
Rfam family: Bacterial small subunit ribosomal RNA
Source: RNAcentral
GACGAACGCUGGCGGCGUGCUUAACACAUGCAAGUCGAACGGAAAGGCCCUGCUUUUGUGGGGUGCUCGAGUGGCGAACGGGUGAGUAACACGUGAGUAACCUGCCCUUGACUUUGGGAUAACUUCAGGAAACUGGGGCUAAUACCGGAUAGGAGCUCCUGCUGCAUGGUGGGGGUUGGAAAGUUUCGGCGGUUGGGGAUGGACUCGCGGCUUAUCAGCUUGUUGGUGGGGUAGUGGCUUACCAAGGCUUUGACGGGUAGCCGGCCUGGGAGGGUGACCGGACACAUUGGGACUGAGAUACGGCCCAGACUCCUACGGGAGGCAGCAGUGGGGAGUAUUACACAAUGGGCGGAAGCCUGAUGCAGCAACGCCGCGUGCGGGAUGACGGCCUUCGGGUUGUAAACCGCUUUCGCCUGUGACGAAGCGUGAGUGACGGUAAUGGGUAAAGAAGCACCGGCUAACUACGUG